Molecule: long non-coding RNA, 250 nt
Filed under: Elaeis guineensis (African oil palm)
Lineage: Eukaryota; Viridiplantae; Streptophyta; Magnoliopsida; Arecales; Arecaceae
Description: long non-coding RNA (EGUI_LNC054274)
Source: RNAcentral
GACUCAUUUUUCAAAUAAGCACCCACAUCUUUGUAUUAGUGUCCCAUACACAAGUGGCUAGUGAGAUCUGCCACCCUUUUUAUUGAGCAUACAUAGGAUGGGCCAGUCAAUCCAGAACAUUGAUUUCCGACUCAAUGCUCCUACGAUCAGAAAUAUUUAAGAUUAAGAUUUUAGGUCUCACUAGCAUGACCCAUUUAUAUCUCCUAAAUCCAUUGCACUAAUCUUUGAGGUUUAUCAUUAUCUUAAUCAU